Molecule: long non-coding RNA, 160 nt
Organism: Sapajus apella (tufted capuchin)
Lineage: Eukaryota; Metazoa; Chordata; Mammalia; Primates; Cebidae
Exons: 3
Source: RefSeq, a predicted model, not a curated record
GAUGAUAUUGUUUGUUUUUUUCUUACUGAUUUGAGUUUAUUGUAGAUUCUGGAUAUCAGUUCUUUGUCAGAUGUACAGGUUGUGAAGAUUUUCCCCCACACUGUGGGUUGUCUGUUUACUCUGCUGACUGUUCCUUUUGCCGUGCUGGAGAUUUUUAGUU